This 1168-nucleotide ribosomal RNA is filed under the name Clostridium sp. K25. Its description in RNAcentral is "bacterial SSU rRNA". It matches the Rfam family "Bacterial small subunit ribosomal RNA", at positions 99 to 1287 of the family's 1533-position model. Lineage: Bacteria; Bacillati; Bacillota; Clostridia; Eubacteriales; Clostridiaceae. The record is from RNAcentral.
CGGAUUGGUGAGUAACACGUGGGUAACCUGCCUCAAAGAGGGGGAUAGCCUCCCGAAAGGGAGAUUAAUACCGCAUAACAUUAUUUUAUGGCAUCAUAAAAUAAUCAAAGGAGUAAUCCGCUUUGAGAUGGACCCGCGGCGCAUUAGCUAGUUGGUGAGGUAAGGGCUCACCAAGGCGACGAUGCGUAGCCGACCUGAGAGGGGGAUCGGCCACAUUGGAACUGAGACACGGUCCAGACUCCUACGGGAGGCAGCAGUGGGGAAUAUUGCGCAAUGGGGGAAACCCUGACGCAGCAACGCCGCGUGAGUGAUGAAGGUUUUCGGAUCGUAAAACUCUGUCUUUAGGGACGAUAAUGACGGUACCUAAGGAGGAAGCCACGGCUAACUACGUGCCAGCAGCCGCGGUAAUACGUAGGUGGCAAGCGUUGUCCGGAUUUACUGGGCGUAAAGAGUAUGUAGGUGGGUGCUUAAGUCAGAUGUGAAAUUCCCGGGCUUAACCUGGGCGCUGCAUUUGAAACUGGGCAUCUAGAGUGCAGGAGAGGAAAGUGGAAUUCCUAGUGUAGCGGUGAAAUGCGUAGAGAUUAGGAAGAACACCAGUGGCGAAGGCGACUUUCUGGACUGUAACUGACACUGAGAUACGAAAGCGUGGGUAGCAAACAGGAUUAGAUACCCUGGUAGUCCACGCCGUAAACGAUGAAUACUAGGUGUCGGGGGGUACCACCCUCGGUGCCGCAGCAAACGCAUUAAGUAUUCCGCCUGGGGAGUACGGUCGCAAGAUUAAAACUCAAAGGAAUUGACGGGGACCCGCACAAGCAGCGGAGCAUGUGGUUUAAUUCGAAGCAACGCGAAGAACCUUACCUAGACUUGACAUCUCCUGAAUUACUCUUAAUCGAGGAAGUCCCUUCGGGGACAGGAAGACAGGUGGUGCAUGGUUGUCGUCAGCUCGUGUCGUGAGAUGUUGGGUUAAGUCCCGCAACGAGCGCAACCCUUAUUGUUAGUUGCUACUAUUAAGUUAAGCACUCUAACGAGACUGCCGCGGUUAACGUGGAGGAAGGUGGGGAUGACGUCAAAUCAUCAUGCCCCUUAUGUCUAGGGCUACACACGUGCUACAAUGGCUGGUACAACGAGCAGCAAACCCGCGAGGGGGAGCAAAACUUGAAAGCCAGUC